Molecule: ribosomal RNA, 407 nt
Filed under: uncultured bacterium
Lineage: Bacteria
Description: bacterial SSU rRNA
Rfam family: Bacterial small subunit ribosomal RNA
Source: RNAcentral
UGGGGAAUAUUGUUCAAUGGACGAAAGUCUGAAACAGCAAUGCCGCGUGGAUGAUGAAGGCCUUCGGGUUGUAAAGUCCUUUCGAUUGGGAAGAAGAAAAUGACGGUACCAAGAGAAGAAGCCACGGCUAAUCUCGUGCCAGCAGCCGCGGUAAGACGAGAGUGGCAAGCGUUAUCCGGAAUUACUGGGCGUAAAGAGCGCGUAGGCGGUUUUGAAAGUCAGGGGUGAAAAGUCUGGGCUUAACCGAGGCCUUGCCUUUGAAACUUCAAGACUAGAGUACAGGAUAGGAGGGUAGAACUACCAGUGUAGCGGUGGAAUGCGUAGAUAUUGGUAGGAACGCCGAUGACGAAGGUAACUCUCUGGACUGAUACUGACGCUGAGGUGCGAAAGCUAGGGGAGCAAACAGG